GCGGAGGAAAAGAAACCAACAGGGAUUGCCUUAGUAGCGGCGAGUGAGCGGCAAAAGCUCAAAUUUGAAAUCUGGCUCUUUCAGAGUCCGAGUUGUAAUUUGAAGAAGGUAUCUUUGGGUCUGGCUCUUGUCUAUGUUUCUUGGAACAGAACGUCACAGAGGGUGAGAAUCCCGUGCGAUGAGAUGAUCCAGGCCUAUGUAAAGUUCCUUCGAAGAGUCGAGUUGUUUGGGAAUGCAGCUCUAAGUGGGUGGUAAAUUCCAUCUAAAGCUAAAUAUUGGCGAGAGACCGAUAGCGAACAAGUACAGUGAUGGAAAGAUGAAAAGAACUUUGAAAAGAGAGUGAAAAAGUACGUGAAAUUGUUGAAAGGGAAGGGCUUGAGAUCAGACUUGGUAUUUUGUAUGUUACUUCUUCGGGGGUGGCCUCUACAGUUUAUCGGGCCAGCAUCAGUUUGGGCGGUAGGAGAAUUGCGUUGGAAUGUGGCACGGCUUCGGUUGUGUGUUAUAGCCUUCGUCGAUACUGCCAGCCUAGACUGAGGACUGCGGUUUAUACCUAGGAUGUUGGCAUAAUGAUCUUAAGUCGCCCGUCU
This 587-nucleotide ribosomal RNA is filed under the name Candida tropicalis. Its description in RNAcentral is "eukaryotic LSU rRNA". It matches the Rfam family "Eukaryotic large subunit ribosomal RNA", at positions 50 to 654 of the family's 3401-position model. Lineage: Eukaryota; Fungi; Ascomycota; Pichiomycetes; Serinales; Debaryomycetaceae. The record is from RNAcentral.